RNAcentral lists this ribosomal RNA (292 nucleotides) under uncultured bacterium. RNAcentral's name for it is "partial 16S ribosomal RNA". It matches the Rfam family "Bacterial small subunit ribosomal RNA", at positions 505 to 796 of the family's 1533-position model. The record is from RNAcentral.
GUGCCAGCGGCCGCGGUAAUACGGAGGGUGCAAGCGUUGUCCGGAAUCAUUGGGUGUAAAGGGUGCGUAGGCGGAGCUUUAAGUCUGCGGUGAAAUCUUGCCGCUUAACGGUAAAAGUGCCGUGGAAACUAGAGCUCUUGAGUGUAGCAGAGGCCGGUGGAAUUCGUGGUGUAGCGGUGAAAUGCAUAGAUAUCACGAAGAACACCAGUGGCGAAAGCGGCCGGCUGGGCUACGACUGACGCUGAGGCACGAGAGCGUGGGGAGCGAACAGGAUUAGAUACCCCUGUAGUCC